GCGGAUGAGGAGAGCUUGCUCUCUGAUUCAGCGGCGGACGGGUGAGUAAUGCCUAGGAAUCUGCCUGGUAGUGGGGGACAACGUUUCGAAAGGAACGCUAAUACCGCAUACGUCCUACGGGAGAAAGUGGGGGAUCUUCGGACCUCACGCUAUCAGAUGAGCCUAGGUCGGAUUAGCUAGUUGGUGGGGUAACGGCUCACCAAGGCGACGAUCCGUAACUGGUCUGAGAGGAUGAUCAGUCACACUGGAACUGAGACACGGUCCAGACUCCUACGGGAGGCAGCAGUGGGGAAUAUUGGACAAUGGGCGAAAGCCUGAUCCAGCCAUGCCGCGUGUGUGAAGAAGGCCCUCGGGUCGUAAAGCACUUUAAGCUGGGAGGAAGGGUUGUAAGCGAAUACCUUGCAAUUUUGACGUUACCAGCAGAAUAAGCACCGGCUAACUCUGUGCCAGCAGCCGCGGUAAUACAGAGGGUGCAAGCGUUAAUCGGAAUUACUGGGCGUAAAGCGCGCGUAGGUGGCUUGAUAAGUUGGAUGUGAAAUCCCCGGGCUCAACCUGGGAACUGCAUCCAAAACUGUCUGGCUAGAGUACGGUAGAGGGUGGUGGAAUUUCCUGUGUAGCGGUGAAAUGCGUAGAUAUAGGAAGGAACACCAGUGGCGAAGGCGACCACCUGGACUGAUACUGACACUGAGGUGCGAAAGCGUGGGGAGCAAACA
This 713-nucleotide ribosomal RNA is filed under the name Pseudomonas sp. RNAcentral describes it as "bacterial SSU rRNA". It matches the Rfam family "Bacterial small subunit ribosomal RNA", at positions 66 to 774 of the family's 1533-position model. Lineage: Bacteria; Pseudomonadati; Pseudomonadota; Gammaproteobacteria; Pseudomonadales; Pseudomonadaceae. The record is from RNAcentral.